Molecule: transfer RNA, 73 nt
Filed under: Lachnospiraceae bacterium
Lineage: Bacteria; Bacillati; Bacillota; Clostridia; Lachnospirales; Lachnospiraceae
Also listed under: 1 other name
Description: tRNA-Lys
Rfam family: tRNA
About the family: Transfer RNA (tRNA) molecules are approximately 80 nucleotides in length. Their secondary structure includes four short double-helical elements and three loops (D, anti-codon, and T loops). Further hydrogen bonds mediate the characteristic L-shaped molecular structure. tRNAs have two regions of fundamental functional importance: the anti-codon, which is responsible for specific mRNA codon recognition, and the 3' end, to which the tRNAs corresponding amino acid is attached (by aminoacyl-tRNA synthetases). tRNAs cope with the degeneracy of the genetic code in two manners: having more than one tRNA (with a specific anti-codon) for a particular amino acid; and 'wobble' base-pairing, i.e. permitting non-standard base-pairing at the 3rd anti-codon position.
Source: RNAcentral
GCGCGAUUAGCUCAGUUGGUAGAGCAGGUGACUCUUAAUCACAAGGUCCGGGGUUCGAGUCCCCGAUCGCGCA